Molecule: ribosomal RNA, 512 nt
Filed under: uncultured bacterium
Lineage: Bacteria
Description: partial 16S ribosomal RNA
Rfam family: Bacterial small subunit ribosomal RNA
Source: RNAcentral
AUUGAACGCUGGCGGCGUGCCUAAUACAUGCAAGUCGAGCGGACAGAAGGGAGCUUGCUCCCGGAAGUUAGCGGCGGACGGGUGAGUAACACGUAGGUAACCUGCCCCUUAGACUGGGAUAACUCCGGGAAACCGGAGCUAAUACGGGAUAAUAAAGAGAAUCGCCUGAUUUUCUUUUGAAAGACGGUUUCGGCUGUCACUAAGGGAUGGACCUGCGGCGCAUUAGCUAGUUGGUAAGGUAACGGCUUACCAAGGCGACGAUGCGUAGCCGACCUGAGAGGGUGAUCGGCCACACUGGGACUGAGACACGGCCCAGACUCCUACGGGAGGCAGCAGUAGGGAAUCUUCCGCAAUGGACGAAAGUCUGACGGAGCAACGCCGCGUGAGUGAGGAAGGCCUUCGGGUCGUAAAGCUCUGUUGUGAGGGAAGAACAAGUGCCGGGGUAACUACCGGCACCUUGACGGUACCUCACCAGAAAGCCACGGCUAACUACGUGCCAGCCGCCGCCGUAA